This 967-nucleotide long non-coding RNA is filed under the name Nicotiana tabacum (common tobacco). RNAcentral's name for it is "long non-coding RNA (NTAB_LNC011797)". Lineage: Eukaryota; Viridiplantae; Streptophyta; Magnoliopsida; Solanales; Solanaceae. The record is from RNAcentral.
AGGAAAGGUCGCAAAAAAGUGUAAGUCUCUAUAUGUAUUCAUUAUUUCUUAAUUGCUUACAUUUGUGUCUUGAACUUGUAAUUUUAAAUUUAGGACUAAGUGUAUUGAGCUUCCAACUCUAACAUCAUGACUAAAUGUCCUAAAUUUUUGAGCUUGUAACUCUAAGUUAAGGAUUAAGUGUCCUUAACUUUUGAGAUUAUAAGUCUAAAUUCAGGACCAAGUGUCCUUAACGUUUGAACUUGUAACUGUAAGUUAAGGACUACCUGUCCUUAAUUUUUGAAUUUGCAACUCUAACUUCAGGACCAAGUGUCCUUUAUUUUUGAACUUCCACUCUAAGUUCAGGACCAAUUGUCCUUAACUUAUGAGCUUGUUACUCUAAGUUCAGGACUAAUUGUCCUUUAAUUUAUGAGCUUGUAUGUCUAAGUUCAGGACCAAAUGUCCUUAACUUCUGAACUUGUAACUGUAAGUUAAGGACCACAUGUUCUUAAUUUUUGAAUUUGCAACUCUAACUUCAGGACCACGUGUCCUUAAUUUUUGAACUUCCACUCUAAGUUCAGGACCAAUUGUCCUUAACUUAUAAGCUUGUAACUCUAAGUUCAGGACUAAUUGUCCUUUAAUUUAUGAGCUUGUAAGUCUAAGUUUAGGACCAAAUGUCCUUAACUUUUGAACUUGUAACUGUUAGUUAAGGACCACCUGUCCUUAAUUUUUGAAUUUGCAACUCUAACUUCAGGACCAAUUGUCCUUUACUUAUGAGCUUGUUACUCUAAGUUCAGGUCUAAUUGUCCUUUAAUUUAUGAGCUUGUAAGUCUAAGUUCAGGACCAAGUGUCCUUAACUAUUGAACUUGUAACUGUAAGUUAAGUACUACAUGUCCUUAAUUUUUGAAUUUGCAACUCUAACUUCAGGACCAAGUGUCCUUAAUUUUUGAACUUCCACUCUAAGUUCAGAACCAAUUGUCCUUAACUUAUG